RNAcentral lists this long non-coding RNA (246 nucleotides) under Hordeum vulgare. Its description in RNAcentral is "long non-coding RNA (HVUL_LNC018862)". Lineage: Eukaryota; Viridiplantae; Streptophyta; Magnoliopsida; Poales; Poaceae. The record is from RNAcentral.
UUGUUUGUAGUUUUAGUGGUAGAUUUAGUUGGUUGGAAGAUUUAGUAGGUAGUUUAGUGGUAGAUUUUUUUUGUUAAUUAGUGGUAGCUUGUUAAAUUAGUUAGGUGAAAAGACGAGAAGAAGAAGAGGAGUAGAAGGAGGAGGAGGAGGAGAAGAAGAAGAAGAAGAAGAAGAAGAAGAAGAGGAGAAGAAAAAAUAAGAAGGAGAAGAAGAAGAACAAGAAGAAGAAGAAGAAGAAGAAGAAGA